UGGGGAAUUUUGGACAAUUGGGCGAAAGCCUGAUCCAGCAAUGCCGCGUGUGUGAAGAAGGCCUUCAGGUUGUAAAGCACUUUUGUCCGGAAAGAAAUCCUUGGCUCUAAUACAGUCGGGGGAUGACGGUACCGGAAGAAUAAGCACCGGCUAACUACGUGCCAGCAGCCGCGGUAAUACGUAGGGUGCAAGCGUUAAUCGGAAUUACUGGGCGUAAAGCGUGCGCAGGCGGUUUGCUAAGACCGAUGUGAAAUCCCCGGGCUCAACCUGGGAACUGCAUUGGUGACUGGCAGGCUAGAGUAUGGCAGAGGGGGGUAGAAUUCCACGUGUAGCAGUGAAAUGCGUAGAGAUGUGGAGGAAUACCGAUGGCGAAGGCAGCCCCCUGGGCCAAUACUGACGCUCAUGCACGAAAGCGUGGGGAGCAAACAGGAUUAGAUACCCUGGUAGUCCACGCCCUAAAACGAUGUCAACUAGUUGUUGGGGAUUCAUUUCCUUAGUAACGUAGCUAACGCGUGAAGUUGACCGCCUGGGGAGUACGGUCGCAAGAUUAAAACUUCAAAUGAAUUGAC
Molecule: ribosomal RNA, 569 nt
Filed under: uncultured bacterium
Lineage: Bacteria
Description: partial 16S ribosomal RNA
Rfam family: Bacterial small subunit ribosomal RNA
Source: RNAcentral